Gavialis gangeticus (Gharial) is the source of this 125-nucleotide long non-coding RNA. RefSeq lists it as uncharacterized. The transcript is spliced from 4 exons. The record is from RefSeq and is a predicted model, not a curated record. Lineage: Eukaryota; Metazoa; Chordata; Crocodylia; Gavialidae.
GGACCCAGUCAGCCCAGCCAGCAGGAGGCCAGGCUCCUGUCUACUGCCUAGCCUCAUGGCUCUGCACUUCCAGAACCCUUGUGCCCCAGCCUGUCCCUUCACUGCCACACAAAGCAUAGGGAUGA